UGCCGGAUGGCAGAGCGGUAAUGCAGCGCACUGUUAAUGCGCCGUCGCAAGACACACUGGUUCGAAUCCAGUUUCGGCAGCCA
RNAcentral lists this transfer RNA (83 nucleotides) under Gammaproteobacteria bacterium. RNAcentral describes it as "tRNA-Asn". It matches the Rfam family "tRNA". Rfam says of the family: Transfer RNA (tRNA) molecules are approximately 80 nucleotides in length. Their secondary structure includes four short double-helical elements and three loops (D, anti-codon, and T loops). Further hydrogen bonds mediate the characteristic L-shaped molecular structure. tRNAs have two regions of fundamental functional importance: the anti-codon, which is responsible for specific mRNA codon recognition, and the 3' end, to which the tRNAs corresponding amino acid is attached (by aminoacyl-tRNA synthetases). tRNAs cope with the degeneracy of the genetic code in two manners: having more than one tRNA (with a specific anti-codon) for a particular amino acid; and 'wobble' base-pairing, i.e. permitting non-standard base-pairing at the 3rd anti-codon position. Lineage: Bacteria; Pseudomonadati; Pseudomonadota; Gammaproteobacteria. The record is from RNAcentral.